RNAcentral lists this ribosomal RNA (892 nucleotides) under Hucho hucho (huchen). RNAcentral describes it as "bacterial SSU rRNA". It matches the Rfam family "Bacterial small subunit ribosomal RNA", at positions 625 to 1520 of the family's 1533-position model. Lineage: Eukaryota; Metazoa; Chordata; Actinopteri; Salmoniformes; Salmonidae. The record is from RNAcentral.
UUUUGAAACUGAUUACCUAGAAUAUGGGAGAGGUAGAUGGAAUUUCUGGUGUAGGGGUAAAAUCCGUAGAGAUCAGAAGGAAUACCGAUUGCGAAGGCGAUCUACUGGAACAUUAUUGACGCUGAGACGCGAAAGCGUGGGGAGCAAACAGGAUUAGAUACCCUGGUAGUCCACGCCCUAAACGAUGCACACUAGUUGUUGUGAGGCUCGACCUUGCAGUAAUGCAGUUAACACAUUAAGUGUGCCGCCUGGGGAGUACGGUCGCAAGAUUAAAACUCAAAGGAAUAGACGGGGACCCGCACAAGCGGUGGAGCAUGUGGUUUAAUUCGACGAUACACGAAGAACCUUACCUGGACUUGACAUAGUAAGAACUUUCUAGAGAUAGAUUGGUGUCUGCUUGCAGAAACUUAUAUACAGGUGCUGCACGGCUGUCGUCAGCUCGUGUCGUGAGAUGUUGGGUUAAGUCCCGCAACGAGCGCAACCCUCGUCAUUAGUUGCUAACAGUUCGGCUGAGAACUCUAAUGAGACUGCCUACGUAAGUAGGAGGAAGGUGAGGACGACGUCAAGUCAUCAUGGCCCUUACGUCCAGGGCUACACACGUGCUACAAUGGGGUAUACAAAGAGCAGCAAUACGGUGACGUGGAGCAAAUCUCAAAAAUAUCUCCCAGUUCGGAUUGUAGUCUGCAACUCGACUACAUGAAGUUGGAAUCGCUAGUAAUCGUAGAUCAGCUAUGCUACGGUGAAUACGUUCCCGGGUCUUGUACUCACCGCCCGUCACACCAUGGGAGUUGAACUCAUUCGAAGCGGGGAUGCUAAAGUAGCUACCUUCCACAGUGGAUUCAGCGACUGGGGUGAAGUCGUAACAAGGUAACCGUAGGAGAACCUGCGGUUG